GAUGAACGCUGGCGGCGUGCCUAAUACAUGCAAGUCGAGCGAACGGACGAGAAGCUUGCUUCUCUGAUGUUAGCGGCGGACGGGUGAGUAACACGUGGAUAACCUACCUAUAAGACUGGGAUAACUUCGGGAAACCGUAGCUAAUACCGGAUAAUAUUUUGAACCGCAUGGUUCAAAAGUGAAAGACGGUCUUGCUGUCACUUAUAGAUGGAUCCGCGCUGCAUUAGCUAGUUGGUAAGGUAACGGCUUACCAAGGCAACGAUGCAUAGCCGACCUGAGAGGGUGAUCGGCCACACUGGAACUGAGACACGGUCCAGACUCCUACGGGAGGCAGCAGUAGGGAAUCUUCCGCAAUGAGCGAAAGCCUGACGUAGCAACGCCGCGUGAGUGAUGAAGGUCUUCGGAUCGUAAAACUCUGUUAUUAGGGAAGAACAUAUGUGUAAGUAACUGUGCACAUCUUGACGGUACCUAAUCAGAAAGCCACGGCUAACUACGUG
RNAcentral lists this ribosomal RNA (497 nucleotides) under uncultured bacterium. RNAcentral describes it as "partial 16S ribosomal RNA". It matches the Rfam family "Bacterial small subunit ribosomal RNA", at positions 28 to 507 of the family's 1533-position model. The record is from RNAcentral.